RNAcentral lists this ribosomal RNA (169 nucleotides) under Aeschynomene montevidensis. RNAcentral's name for it is "5.8S ribosomal RNA". It matches the Rfam family "5.8S ribosomal RNA". Rfam says of the family: 5.8S ribosomal RNA (5.8S rRNA) is a component of the large subunit of the eukaryotic ribosome. It is transcribed by RNA polymerase I as part of the 45S precursor that also contains 18S and 28S rRNA. Lineage: Eukaryota; Viridiplantae; Streptophyta; Magnoliopsida; Fabales; Fabaceae. RNAcentral also lists the same sequence under 1 other name. The record is from RNAcentral.
GUCCAGAAUGACUCUCGGCAACGGAUAUCUCGGCUCUUGCAUCGAUGAAGAACGUAGCGAAAUGCGAUACUUGGUGUGAAUUGCAGAAUCCCGUGAACCAUCGAGUCUUUGAACGCAAGUUGCGCCCGAAGCCGUCAGGCCGAGGGCACGCCUGCCUGGGUGUCACCGA